Molecule: long non-coding RNA, 2445 nt
Organism: Hypanus sabinus (Atlantic stingray)
Lineage: Eukaryota; Metazoa; Chordata; Chondrichthyes; Myliobatiformes; Dasyatidae
Exons: 4
Source: RefSeq, a predicted model, not a curated record
AUUGAUUUCUUGAACUUCCAGUAAUGCCUCCACCAACAUCUUCUGAAGAACUGAAGCAAGAAGAAAAGGAUAGGUAGAAAGGGAGGAGUACAAGCAGGUCUAAAUCUUUGAACUCCUUACCCAACAUCGUUGUGGAAAUAACUUCAUCAGGACAACAGAGAUUCAAGAAGUUGGGUCAGCACUAUGUUAUAAAGGGUUGCCGAUUACUGACGCUGGCUGACCAGACCAGUUUAUCAAGAUAAUAAUGUGCUUCUGGCAUGUUUGGAAAUGCUGUUUACAAUGAAUAAACAUCUCAAGGAAUAACCUGAAGGGAAGUGAUUGACAAGAUGAAGAUUGUUUAUUCUACUUCCAACUAUCAGAAUAUUAACAUGACUGAAUUAGCAGAAGCUUCAGCUGAAACUACAGUAAGAGUAUUAAAUCUCAUGUAACAAUCUCUCUCUUGCUUUUCCAGCUUGAAAAUAAAUAUGACAUAACAGAAAAUCAUGAGUAACAGGGAAGAGGUCAGCCAUAAAUUCUUCAACAAUGAGCUGAAAACAAUGAAAUUACUGGAAAGCUUUGACUUUGCUAAUGCAAGUGUGAGGAGACACUUCCCACUAGUGUGGAUGACAGCAGAUACAAUCCUACUUAAAAACUCAGCGCCAUCCGGGAUAAAGCAGCUCAGAUGAUUGGCUCAUUUGUUAAACAUCAGAUACCUCUCCCACAAGAACUUCAUGACUGAUGUGUGUAUGAUCUAGAAAAUGCAUGAUGGCAAUGCACCAAAACUAUUUUGAGAUCUUUGGAUUCCAAACUUGCAAUUUUUACCACACAGGAAGAUAAUGGGCUCAAAUUCAAAUUCAAACUCAAUAACUGGAGCUCCUUCCCAGCUUGGAAAUACUCCUCAAAGCCACUAGCACUAUGUAUUGGAGCUCUAUUGUGACUGUGAUCUUCAUCACUGGAGAGAUGCCGAAGCCAGAGAUAUAGAAGUCUUCAUUCAUCAUGACAAGCAGGUAUUCUCCUAGAGGCCCAAUUAGUAGGGUCUCCCAAACUCAAAGUACGUCAUAUUUUAUACCCGUAAGAUCCAAGGUAACAGCAGGUAAUUCAAUGCGAUUUUAAUAGUUAAAAUGACAAUAUUUACUUCAAUCAUUCUGAGUCUGACAAUGCUUCAGUAAGUUACAUGUCUACAUAGGGAAACAGCUUUGAAUGUUCAAACACCUUUGCUGGGACAAAGCCAUUUACAAGGAAGUUCUAAAGGCUUCUCAGAAUUCCAAACUCCAAUAGUAAUAUUGUGAGGCUGGACUCUGUGUAUACAAAUAACCUAACCAUUGAUGUUACAAAUAUGCCUGUGACCAUAUUUGAUGUGUAAAGUGACAAAAUGUAUCUUGUUUGCAAGCUUCCUUGAAUUCAAUCAUAAUGGUUCAAAAUAACUUGGCCCAUGUUGUCUUUCUGGAUGCAGGCCACAAUCCAAUUGUCUUAUGUUUGGCUGAUGGUAACUUCACUUUACAAACUAGAUCUCUUGAGCAGCCAGCCCCCUGUGGGUCAGCAGCAUUUGCUCUGUAGAGAGUGCUAUUGCUUUGCAAAGCUGUCCUUUUAACUUCAAGCUGAUUGCUGCUUCCAGUUUACAUUAGGAACUGAACAAUAGUUCUUGAUUGAAUCUGCAAUUGGUUGUGCUAUAUUCACAUCAUACCAUAACUCUGGAAUCCCUAACUCUCUCUACCUUUAACACCUGGAUGGACAUCAGCCAGUGCUGGAAGAAGAACAAGGAUACCCAGUGUCUGCAGAAUAUGAGUCAAAAACUGUACAUGAGUCUGAAGACCCACAGUCAGUGUUUUCAGGCCAGCUUCUUCUCUUCUGAGAUCAGAUUACUAAACAGUUCAUAACCCAUGAACAUGAUCUCAUUUUUCAUCUUUUGCACUAUUUAUAACUUCUGCAAUUUGCAGUUAUUUUAUGAAAUUUCUUGCCGCAAAACAAAUCUUAUCAAAAUGUCUUUUAUUAUAAACCUGAUUCAGAUUCUGAGUAAGAUGAGCAAGAAGAAGAACAUGGCUAGGAGAUGAUGUCCCUGCUUAACAUGCACAGCCUCAACUCCAAACUGAGCCAAGGAGUUAGGCAUCCAUUCUCCCGAAGAUGAGGAAUAUCAAAUUUUUAAGAAAGCUUUAUGACAUCAGUUUACCAAAGUAAGAUGUCCCUUUCCACACUAUAAUCCUUCAGCUUUCCAAAGAUAAAAAGAAUGGGCAUUGUUUGGAACUCCAGCAGUGACUAAAUGUCUCUUUAAUGGCUUUCAGUCAAUUUGGCUGUACUUUAUAAAACGUACCAUGUAAGACCCUUUACAUCACUGCCAUCCCUCCAGCCUUCAAAACUGAGCCAUUCAUUGAAGCUUCCAUCAUUUUUUCCCACAUUAAUAAAAGGUUUUUGAACAUUUUCUACAUUAAAGAGAUCAUGUAAAUACAAACCACUUUUGUUAAAACAGCA